UGCCUUUGGUUUGGCUCCUUGUCCAGA
This 27-nucleotide non-coding RNA is filed under the name Rattus norvegicus (Norway rat). The record is from RNAcentral. Lineage: Eukaryota; Metazoa; Chordata; Mammalia; Rodentia; Muridae.